Molecule: ribosomal RNA, 494 nt
Filed under: uncultured bacterium
Lineage: Bacteria
Description: partial 16S ribosomal RNA
Rfam family: Bacterial small subunit ribosomal RNA
Source: RNAcentral
GACGAACGCUGGCGGCGUGCUUAACACAUGCAAGUCGAACGGAAAGGCCUGCUUUCCCUUGUGGAUUGCGGGUACUCGAGUGGCGAACGGGUGAGUAACACGUGAGUGAUCUGCCCCCAACUUGGGUAUAAGCCUGGGAAACUGGGUCUAAUUCCCGAUAGGACUGCAGGGUGGUGCCUGUGGUGGAAAACGAUUUUCUAGUGGCUGGGGAUGAGCUCGCGGCCUAUCAGCUGGUUGGUGGGGUAAUGGCCUACCAAGGCGGCGACGGGUAGCCGGCCUGGGAGGGUGGACGGCCACAUUGGGACUGAGAUACGGCCCAGACUCCUACGGGAGGCAGCAGUGGGGAAUAUUGCACAAUGGGCGGAAGCCUGAUGCAGCGACGCCGCGUGGGGGAUGACGGCCUUCGGGUUGUAAACUCCUUUCGACCGCGAGGAAGCCACCUGGCUGGAAGGGUGGUGACGGUAGUGGUAGAAGAAGCACCGGCUAACUACGUG